Picea glauca (white spruce) is the source of this 45-nucleotide non-coding RNA. Lineage: Eukaryota; Viridiplantae; Streptophyta; Pinopsida; Pinales; Pinaceae. The record is from Rfam.
GUAACGGUGUCUUUAGACACCACCUUUAUCUUCAAAAUUUUAUUC